Long non-coding RNA from Eucalyptus grandis, 2179 nucleotides. RefSeq lists it as uncharacterized. NCBI's taxonomy places the organism in Eukaryota, Viridiplantae, Streptophyta, Magnoliopsida, Myrtales, Myrtaceae. The record is from RefSeq and is a predicted model, not a curated record. The transcript has 7 exons.
GGGACUGGGAGGAGGGUGAUGAUCUCAAUACAACCAUACAAAAGUUAGCAGCAUAAAUCAAUUCACAUAGAAUUGCAUCAUCAUCAACCCUAUCCAUCGAUCGAUCUCGCCUCCUUCUUCACUGAACAGCAGGAAGCAAAGCAGGGUUCUCCUUCUCCUUCUUGACACCAUAGGCAUCAAACGAAGCGUCGGGAAUGCCAGGACCGAGAGAAGCGAAGCUGCUACACUUAGCGGAGCAGAGCCAAGUAGGAGAGGGAGAGGGAGAUUCAACCAGAUGAAGUGUUAUCGUCAUCGCCGUCGCUGGAGAGAAGAUCAUACUCUCUCUCCUCUCCGCCCUUGAACCAAGCAAACUUAACCGUCUCUCUUGCUGCUUCGCUCGCCAUCCUCUUGUGAUCGAAUCCAGGCGCAGUUACGAGCGUUCUUCUUCUAUGGCUAAAGCUGGAUUUCUCACUGGAUUCCUUGGUAUAGAGUCUGUCCCUGGCCCUCAAUUGCCUCAAAUUGAGGCAUCCUGAGCUGCUUUAUUAUGGUCCCAUGCGUCCAAUGCCUCUCACUGCUCUAAAUCAGCUGACAAAUUUUCCAAUGGAGCAUCCCUUUUUCAUGGUGAUGAGGAGGCCCUCUUAUGUUAAGUAUGGCUUGGGAAUACCAAAAAGGUUCGAGAGGAUGCUUUUGAGACAAUGGUGCAAUUAUUUGGCCUGUGGAAUUGGAAAAAUGUGAUGAGAUGGUUUGGCUAGCAAAGGAUUGGAAUGAAUUUGCAGAGCACUACUGUGGGGGCCAAUUUUUGGUCUUCUAAUCUGGAGGGGACUCCAUUUUCCAUGUCACUGUAAUUGAUGAAAGGAUGAUCGAGAUAGAAUAUCCAUCAAUCAAUGUCAAUGUGAGGAACCGAGCCUCAGCAAUUGUGGAAUUGUCUUGCUGAAAGUGGAAGAUGCCUUUGCUUGCUGUGAUGUUUCAGUCGAGCUUGAAGUCUAGGGGGAUGAAUUGCAUUCAGCCAAGUGUCCUCAGUGUUGCAUGGAAAUGGAAUUUGAUCAGGUUUGCAAAGUUCAUGGCGAUUCCUAUGCACAUUCAUCAGCAGAGUUUGCGGAGGGACAAAAGUUUGAACUGCUCAUCACAAGAUUUUCCAGGGUGUGAAUCUUAAUAUAUUAGCUAAUUCUCCCCUUGUGUGUGUUGUUCUUGUGUUUGAUUCGAAUACCGUACAGGAACUGUCCAUGUCAUUAGGCUAAGAGAAACUGCAUUAGAGUUAAUGCUAAGAGAAACUGUGUUAGAGCUAAUUCAUUCUCUUAGUGUUUCUUUGUCUCUAGAUCUCCCGUGUGAGCAUAUGUAUGUGUUAGGACUAAAUGUGCCGGGGAUUGCCAUGAUGUUUCGGUUGAGCUUGAAGUCUUGGGGAUGAAUUGCAUUCAGCCAAGUGUCCCCAGCUUUGUAUGGCAAUGGAAUUUGAUCAGGUUUGCAAAGAUCAUGGCAGUUCCCAUGCACAUUCGUUAGCAAAAAGUAUGGGGAGGGACAGAAGUUCAAACUGCUCAUCAUGAGAUUUUCCGGGUAAGCUGAAAAAGCGGGGCUUGUGCAGAGCUCUCAAACCGGGCAGCAAAUUUACACUCGAUUAUCCUUUCUCUGAAAUUGCAGUGAGGUUAAUACAUCUAAAGAAAAACAAUGUGAGAGUUCCUGGUUCAUUCCCAAAGACACAUUAAGAAAAGCCCGCAGACCGUGGCUCUCAUAUUUCAAGACAAAUCAUGGCCAUUGAAGCUCAUCAGCCACGAACAUCAUGGAAAGUCAUCUGCCUGUUGGGCUGCAUUCACGAGACUUCUCUGAAGGUGGAAGACGCAUGUGUUCGAGCUUUAUUGAAAGGGACGAUGUUGUGUUCAGAGUAUCCAUCUUUGGAACCACUGAUAAGACUUGAGUGUAUAAUAAUACUAUGCAAUACGAUGCAGCAAAGGAAGCAUUGCUUUUAGUUCACUUUUGGUGAGAAUCGAACAUACAGAAUUGCUAGGCUGAAUUCUGCUUCUGCUUCGGCAAAAUAGAUAAAAGCAUGAGUUUUGUUCCAAUGGAUGGAAUGGUCUUGAACGUGCUUCUAUAAGAUUUCAGGUGGCUCAACCUGACCAUUAGAAUUGUAAAUGGUAGUAACAUCGAAUACACUUCCCUUGUGCCAUACAACAAGUCUGAAUUUCAAGGCGCAACCAUGAUUUUACAA